GAUGAACGCUCGCGGCGUGCCUAAUACAUGCAAGUCGAGCGAACAGACGAGGAGCUUGCUCCUCUGACGUUAGCGGCGGACGGGUGAGUAACACGUGGAUAACCUACCUAUAAGACUGGGAUAACUUCGGGAAACCGGAGCUAAUACCGGAUAAUAUAUUGAACCGCAUGGUUCAAUAGUGAAAGACGGUUUUGCUGUCACUUAUAGAUGGAUCCGCGCCGCCUUAGCUAGUUGGUAAGGUAACGGCUUACCAAGGCGACGAUGCGUAGCCGACCUGAGAUGGUGAUCGACCACACUGGAACUGAGACACGGUCCAGACUCCUACGGGAGGCAGCAGUAGGAAAUCUUCCGCAAUGGGCGAAAGCCUGACGUAGCAACGCCGCGUGAGUGAUGAAGGUCUUCGGAUCGGAAACCUCUUUUAUUAGGGAAGAACAAAUGUUUAAGUAACUAUGCACGUCUGCACGGUACCUAAUCAGAAAGCCACGGCUAACUACGUG
This 497-nucleotide ribosomal RNA is filed under the name uncultured bacterium. Its description in RNAcentral is "partial 16S ribosomal RNA". It matches the Rfam family "Bacterial small subunit ribosomal RNA", at positions 28 to 507 of the family's 1533-position model. The record is from RNAcentral.